UAGACCGCCUGGGGAGUACGGCCGCAAGGUUAAAACUCAAAUGAAUUGACGGGGGCCCGCACAAGCGGUGGAGCAUGUGGUUUAAUUCGAUGCAACGCGAAGAACCUUACCUGGUCUUGACAUCCACGGAAGUUUUCAGAGAUGAGAAUGUGCCUUCGGGAACCGUGAGACAGGUGCUGCAUGGCUGUCGUCAGCUCGUGUUGUGAAAUGUUGGGUUAAGUCCCGCAACGAGCGCAACCCUUAUCCUUUGUUGCCAGCGAUUCGGUCGGGAACUCAAAGGAGACUGCCAGUGAUAAACUGGAGGAAGGUGGGGAUGACGUCAAGUCAUCAUGGCCCUUACGACCAGGGCUACACACGUGCUACAAUGGCGCAUACAAAGAGAAGCGACCUCGC
RNAcentral lists this ribosomal RNA (393 nucleotides) under Salmonella enterica subsp. enterica. Its description in RNAcentral is "bacterial SSU rRNA". It matches the Rfam family "Bacterial small subunit ribosomal RNA", at positions 865 to 1258 of the family's 1533-position model. The record is from RNAcentral. Lineage: Bacteria; Pseudomonadati; Pseudomonadota; Gammaproteobacteria; Enterobacterales; Enterobacteriaceae.